GCCAAGCCAUGUGGUCGGGUCUACUUUCCCCUUGCUUUUAUUUUCUUUGUGAGGAUGCAUUUUGCCUCUUUUAAAGGCAAAAUGAAGCAGCAUGAACCUUUUACCUUCUGCCUCUGUUAGAAGUUGAAGUCAAAGGGACUCAAGCCGGCUUACAAAAUCCAGCAAGAAUUCAGUUCCACCAUCCAGUGGAACCAUGACCACUCAAUAUGAGUAUGAAAGACAAUAGGCACACCAUCUGCAAACUGAGAAUCCUGCGGGUGUCUUAAGUUAGAUUUUGAGAAGAGCAAAUUCUUGAAAACUCAUUUCAUGACCAGGCACAAUGAUUUUCACUCCAGAAUCUGUCAAUCAAUCCAGAUAACUUCCAGCGAGCUCUUUUAUGCAAACGGUGACUACAGAAAACUUUGCAUGGAUCAGGUUUACUAUAGUUGACAUAAGUCAUGUGAGGACUGAACCUCAGAAAGAACUCACAUCUGGCUAUGUGUGGACCACUUUUGGAAACUGAGCAUGUUGUUAAAAUCCAACUGUUUUCAGAUUUUAGCUAAGAAAAAACUACCAUGUAAAUCAUUCCUUCCCCUAAAUCCAAUUGUUAAUUCCAAAUGGGGUAGAUCUACUGGAUCAAUGGAAUAAGGGAAACUCCACACUUACGUAAGUUCCACUGAUAUAAUCAUUUACUCUGGUUGGGAGUAACAACUGAAUUCUUUUUUGAAUUAGUUAACUUUCAGGAGGCACAAUAACGGGUACCGGCCUCACCUUGGCUACCCCAUUUUCACCUGAGCAGCAGAGGGCAGGAGUGCACAAUGAGGAAAAUGGUGCUGGGCACCAGUCUCUUCAUUCCACAAGCCUCUGCGGUGUUCAAAUUUGUGGGCUCCUGUGCCUGGCAGAAAGUGGCAGCCAAUGGAGGUUGAUAUGACUGAGGAAGUUUCCAUUCCUCAUCUUAAGAACAUUAGCACAUGUCAGUUUCAUAAGGUGGCUUUGGAGUAGCUUCCCUGUCUACACUUCCCUAUGUCAAUAUGGAUUGGGGAUUGAAUUAGGGGCAGUUGAUGAGCUAUUAAAUUUACUUGUCACAACAUUGACAUGGCUGGUAUGGGGCCGAAUUAAGUGGGGUUUUGUCUUGAGUGCCUAUCCCCCUUGGGGAAAGGGGAUCCCCUUAUGAAUACCUUGUGAUGAGGAUGUUGGGAUGCCCCCAACUUAGGCAGGUGGAAGUCCUAGCCUUGGUGCAGUGGCAGGUGGCUUACAAACUGAUGGGAUCCUGGUUUCUGCCCCCCAGGAGUUGAGCUAGUAGGGCAAUGAUGCACUAUUGGCUGACAGUUGGCAUUCGGUUCCAUACCAAAAAAACCUUCUUUCAGCUGUAAUCAAUAAACAUUGUGGUGUGUUCUAUUCCAAAUAAGUGUCUGGAAUGUUUCUUGAGGUAUGCUGUCUAUUUUGCCAUUGAGGGCUACAUUUAUAUUUGUUUUGCAGUGGGCAAUUGCGUGCUGUAUUCUUUUAAGUUGUUUCCAACCUAUGAUGAGCCCACAAGUGAACUUAUCAUGCAGAUUUUAGAUGAAAGCUUUAUUCAGAGGAGGUUUUGUAAUGCCCUCCUCUGAGGCCAAGGGUGUGUGGCUUGAACAUGGCUACACAGUGGGUAUCCUUAGCUGAGUGAGGAUUCAAAUCCUGGUCAACUACAGUCCUAAUCCAACUCUCAAACCACUAUGUUGACUCUGUAGUAAACUACGUGAUAGUAAUUCUGAAUAGGUUUAUUGGGUCUUAUUCCAAUACAGAAAGGGAGAUAUCGCAAUUGUAUUUUGAGCUUAUAAUAUAUAUGUUUAUAUGCUUAUAUAUGCUUAUAAUAAGCCCUACCAAAUCCAAUGAAGCCUAUUUCCAAGGAAAAAUGUAUAGAAUUCUUUUGUAUACUCUCAGGACCUCAUCACAUGAAAGUGGGGAAAGCAGGGAAAAGCAGAGGGAACCGUCUUCUUUCGUUCUUUACUAUGACUUCCCUUCUUCACAUCCUUUCCCCGUCAUUCCCCUCUUCCAUCCGGCUUCUACGUGUU
This is a long non-coding RNA of Anolis carolinensis (green anole), 2027 nucleotides long. RefSeq lists it as uncharacterized. The transcript has 3 exons. The record is from RefSeq and is a predicted model, not a curated record. Lineage: Eukaryota; Metazoa; Chordata; Lepidosauria; Squamata; Anolidae.